RNA transcript from Fragaria vesca subsp. vesca, 899 nucleotides. RefSeq lists it as uncharacterized. The record is from RefSeq and is a predicted model, not a curated record. The transcript has 2 exons. NCBI's taxonomy places the organism in Eukaryota, Viridiplantae, Streptophyta, Magnoliopsida, Rosales, Rosaceae.
AUACAAUGUAAAACAAAUUGAAGCAAGUGCGACUUCAUCUGCAGUCGGGCUCUGAUCGCCAACCUCGCAUUCUUUUCUAGUUUUGAGUUCUCUGCUCGCACAUCUCACUGGCGCCAUCUUCACGCUUCUGAUCGUCGUUGCCCUCUCAGCCCCGAUUUGCAGUCUUUGGUAACCGAUUCGUCCAGCGGCAUAUCCUGAUGAUCAGCUCCUUCAGUCUUUCAGAGGCACGAACAGUUCCUGCAACUGCGAAACUCUCCAUCAAGUCGCCACUCAUCACGAUUAGCUUCUCUUUCAAUUCACCAAUGGCUAGAACAAGAGCUGAGACUCCACUUUCACAUAAUGUUUUCAAGUAUUGGUAUGACUUGCUCGCAACACUAACAAAACAGAUGCUCCAGAUGAAGAGAACGAGCCAACCAAAAGGUGGAAAGAGGAUGAGCAGCUCUAAAGUGAAAGCCAGAGUUCCCAACAUGAUGAUAAUCCUAUUCAUGAAUUUACGAAAGUCUACUGUACUGUGAUCAUUUUGGAGUAUCAUGACACCUAUUGACCCAAAGUAAGCCGAUACGUCGAUAACAAACAACCUCAUCAAUAGUGUGUCUGGAGAUGAAUUUGCAAAUUUCAAUUGGAGGCAAAAGCCAAGGAUGGUGAUGAGAGAAACAAUACAUUUGUUCAAUCCCACCAUAGAUUUGCUCCUAGGUGCACCCUGCUCCAUUCUGUUAUACCAUAAGAAAAUUGAUCGAGUUAAAAAUUAUUUAUCAAAUUAGUGAAAAAUAUCGACUAUCGCUACGAAUGAGUUGCAGCUAGCUAGGAAGGUUUAUCCAUUGCCUUUGUUCCUCCUAGCUACAUGGAAUUUCCCUAUAUAUAUUCUUCAAUAUCUGAAAGAGAUACUUGAGUUUUAAUGA